GAAAAAAAUAUUAAAUUUCAUGGGGUAUUAUUUUGCAAAAGAGAACAAUAAACAAAAGAAAAAGUUGAAGACAUAUGUUUCAAUCUCAUUCAUUAAGAUGUCUUUAACUUGACACGUCAUGGUCUACGUGGAAUAAUCAAACCUUAUUGAGCACACAUUCAUUACCUUAUCAUCCGAAUGCACCUCCUCCAAUCAUUAUCCAAAUGUGAUAAACUAUAAACAAACCUUACCCUUACAGUGCCAUAUUAAUUUCUCGCUCCUUCAAUUUCGAUCAACGUUUUUAAAAUUGGAUUAGUGAUUAAAUCAGUUAAGUAAUCGGAUUGGUUAUUAUAAAAAAAAUUGAUUUAACAACUCAAUUCAACUAAUCCAUAUCAAUUUAUAGACUAAACAUUUUAAUGCAUUUCUUCCGAUUAAUAUCCUAAUCCGAUUCACGACCCAUAUUUAUUUGGCCAUUUGUUGCAUGAGCUUGAAUUUUUGUUUAGGGGCAAUCAUUUAACAAAUAAUUUAAGUAAUAUUUGAGUAUUUUGAAAGUAGGUAGACAAGAGCUUUAGUCUCACUUGUUCUUUCAAUGGACAAUAUAAAUUUUGGUCUCUAAACUUGGCAAUUAAGUUUACUUUGGUACUUGUAUUUUUUCCACUUUGAUUUUAAAACGUGGUAAUUAGUUUCAAUUUGGCCCAUGAACUCGAAUUAUGUCAAUAUUUGAUGAUGUGACCAGUAUUAUUGGAACAAGAUUGGAUCAGACGAAUUGAGAACUAAUUGAUAUAAAGGUCUGAACAAAUGGUUUGAAUCGAUUGACUCAAAAUGUGCUUAAAAUUGGUAAAAAUAAAAAAUCAUAACAAAAAUAGACAGUGGAACAUAUUGUAAUGGUUUAUUUUUUAUUUUGGGUUAAUAUAAAGUUUGCCCCCGAACUUGUAACACCCCUUACCUGUAUUCGACACCGGAAUAGGGUACGAGGUAUUACCAGAACACAUACACUUGUAAACGUAUUUAACUGAGUUAUAAAAUUUCAUCUAAAUUAAAACUUUCAAAAUUAUUAACAUGCUUCUAUAACUUUUCACAAUAUAUCCUCAAAAUAUUAUAAUCAUAAUAAUUAGGUCCUACGAGACCCGAUACAAACUCAUGCAACUCAAUGUUUCAUUUCCAUUUCAUUCAAUUCGCAAUUUCUCAUGCUUACAAUUCAAAUCAUAUCAUUAGCACUUUCCAUUUAAUUCACGUACAAUUCAAUGUCAUUAAGUUCAACACUAAUACGUAUUUACCAUUUAAUUCAACGUUUAUCAAUUAUACCAUUCAUUAACACAUUUACUAAGUUCACCUGUCAACCACAAUCAUUGGUGAGUCCCCUUGUAUAAACUCACUACCACUUAUCCAUUUACUAUAAUUCUUUUGGGCCAAUUUGUCACUUACCAUCCUUAAUCAAAUUAGGGAACGGUUACGGAAAAUUGAGUACUUCACUUCCACUUUGCCAUAGUAUAACUAUGGUCUUACGUAUGAUCACUUAUCACUUGUCCCUGAUCAGAUAAGUGUAGCUAGGCUACCACUUAUCACUUUGUCACUUGAUCACACUUAUCACUUUGUCACUUGAUCAGAUAAGUGUAGCUAAAGCUACCACUUAUCACUUUGUUACUUGAUCAGAUAAGUGUAGCUAAUGCUACCACUUAUCACUUUGUCUAUUGAUCAGAUAAGUGUAGCACUUAUCACUUUUUCACUUGAUUAGAUAAGUGUAGCUAAAGCUACCACUUAUCACUUUAUCUCUUGAUCAGAAGUACUCAAAUCCGGCGUUCCGCUUAAUUUGAUCAUUUAUUCGAUUUUCGCAUUUUUAUUUUAUUUUCAAUUCAACAAUAAAUAUAUAUUUCAUCAUACAUUAUAUAAUUCAUGAAAUUAACAUUUAAUCACUAAAUUUCAGCCAUAUGAACUUACUAUUUCAUUACCUUUCCACACCCGUUUCCUACGCAUAUCACAAGCACCAUAUCAAUUAGGCACUUACAAUUUCAAUGCAUAACUUAUAAAUUUAACGUGGCAUAAUCUAGCCACUGCUUGGCCAAAGCCUAAGCAUGUACACCAAAUACAUUAGCCAAAUACACAUAGCACAAGCAUUAUAAGCAUGGAUGAACACAACAUUUAUUCAUGUAUCACGCUUACCGAUAUGUGUUAAUUCAUAAACCAUUCAUGACAUUAUUUCAUACCAAAUCAUAUACCGAAUAUACCAUACACACAUACUAUGAAACUUUAUUUUCACAAUGAGCUUAAACCGUGACCAAUAAUGCACAAAUGCAAGCAUCAUUUCUAUUUCAUCAUUUAUCAAUUAUAAUCAAGCCUAUGACCAAUUAUACACAAAUCAUUCAUAUAUUUUUCAAUUUUCCUCCUCCUCCUCUCCAUUUCACAUCCUUAAUGUAUAUACCACACUUAAACAACAUUAACUAUAAUUUCACUAUUCACUCACAUGUAUAUUCAAAGCUGUUUAUCCAAGUCAGAGUCACUAAAUUAUUUUUAUCUGGAGCUACAGAGCUCCAAAUUAAGAUCCGUAAAUUUUCCAUAAAACUAGACUCACAUAUAUUCUUACUAUAAAAUUUUAAGAAUUUUUGGUUUAGCCAAUUAAUACAGUUUAUUCUUUAAACUUUCCCCUAUUUUGCUGUUUGACAGCUCCGACCACUCUCUACUAAAAAUGAAUUGUCUAAUUGUACAGAAUUCGGAUGAUGUUUCCGUUUAUUUCCUUUGAAAAUAGACUCAUCAAGGAUUCUAAAAAUAUAAAUUAUAACUCAUAAUUAUUUUUCUUCAAUUUUUGAUGAUUUUCUAAAGUCAGAACAGGAAAACCCGAAAUCAUUCUGACAUUGUCUCACAAAACUUAUUAUAUCUCAUGAUUUACAAUUCCAUUGCUCACACCAUUUCUUCUAUGAGAAACUAGACUCAAUAAGCUUUAAUUUCAUAUUUUAUUCUCAUUCUAAUUCAAUUCUCACAAUUUUUGGUGAUUUUUCAAAGUUAGACCACUGCUGCUGCCCAAAACUGUUUAGUGUAAUAUAUUGAUUACCAAUUUGACUCUAAACUUUUAAUACAUGAUAAUUUCGUCCCUAGGCUUGGAAAAUGAAAUUCUUACAAUAUAAUCCUUGAUUCAAGACUAGUAUUUCUCAUACAUAUCAAUAACAGCCCAUGGAUUCCAUGAAAUUUUAGAAUUUCUCCAUGAUUUCAAUACUUUUCAAUUCAAUCCCUAAAACAUGUUUUCAUCUAAUUUUUUUAAAUAAAACACCUUUAAACAUCCAUUAACAUCUCAAUUUCAUCACAAAAUAAGAAAAAUUAUAUGAACUUAUCAUUAGUAUCUUCCAAAACUUUCAAAAAAAUGAGAAACUAGUAGGAUACUAAGUUGGACCUAAUUGUAAAAGUGUAAAAAUAUAAAAAUUUCAAGGACAAAGCAAAUAUUAAACUUACUUGAAGCCAAAAUAUGGAAUACCAGCUCCAAACCCUCUUCCAUGGCUGUCUCCCACCGAAAUUUCAAGAAGAAAUGGUCUUGAAAUGCUUAAAAUAAAAUUUGG
RNAcentral lists this long non-coding RNA (3524 nucleotides) under Gossypium barbadense (sea-island cotton). RNAcentral describes it as "long non-coding RNA (GBAR_LNC014625)". The record is from RNAcentral. Lineage: Eukaryota; Viridiplantae; Streptophyta; Magnoliopsida; Malvales; Malvaceae.